This 253-nucleotide ribosomal RNA is filed under the name uncultured bacterium. Its description in RNAcentral is "partial 16S ribosomal RNA". It matches the Rfam family "Bacterial small subunit ribosomal RNA", at positions 524 to 776 of the family's 1533-position model. The record is from RNAcentral.
UACAGAGGGUGCGAGCGUUAAUCGGAGUUACUGGGCGUAAAGGGUGCGUAGGCGGUUCAUCAAGUGAGGUGUGAAAUCCCUGGGCUUAACCUAGGAAUUGCACUUCAAACUGUUGAGCUAGAGUACAGUAGAGGGUGGUGGAAUUUCCGGUGUAGCGGUGAAAUGCGUAGAGAUCGGAAGGAACAUCAGUGGCGAAGGCGGCCACCUGGACUGUAACUGACGCUGAGGCACGAGAGCGUGGGGAGCAAACAGG